ACUGCUCAGUAACACGUGGACAACCUGCCCUUAGGUUGGGUAUAAACCCGGGAAACUGGGUAUAAUACCCGAUAGGUCUCGAUUGCUGGAAUGCAUCGAGAUUUAAAGCUCCGGCGCCUAAGGAUGGGUCUGCGGCCUAUCAGGUAGUAGUGGGUGUAGCGUACCUACUAGCCUACGACGGGUACGGGUUGUGAGAGCAAGAGCCCGGAGAUGGAUUCUGAGACACGAAUCCAGGCCCUACGGGGUGCAGCAGGCGCGAAAACUUUACAAUGCUGGCAACAGCGAUAAGGGAACCUCGAGUGCCAGGUUACAAAUCUGGCUGUCGAGAUGCCUAAAAAGCAUUUCAUAGCAAGGGCCGGGCAAGACCGGUGCCAGCCGCCGCGGUAACACCGGCGGCUCGAGUGGUAACCGUUAUUAUUGGGUCUAAAGGGUCUGUAGCCGGCCGGAUAAGUCUCUUGAGAAAUCUGGCAGCUUAACUGUCAGGCUUUCAGGAGAUACUGUCUGGCUCGAGGCCGGGAGAGGUGAGAGGUACUUCAGGGGUAGGGGUGAAAUCUUGUAAUCCUUGAAGGACCACCAGUGGCGAAGGCGUCUCACCAGAACGGACCUGACGGCAAGGGACGAAAGCUAGGGGCACGAACCGGAUUAGAUACCCGGGUAGUCCUAGCCGUAAACGAUACUCGCUAGGUGUCGGCCACGGUGCGACCAUUGUCGGUGCCGUAGGGAAGCCGUGAAGCGAGCCACCUGGGAAGUACGGCCGCAAGGCUGAAACUUAAAGGAAUUGGCGGGGGAGCAC
Molecule: ribosomal RNA, 793 nt
Filed under: uncultured archaeon
Lineage: Archaea
Description: bacterial SSU rRNA
Rfam family: Archaeal small subunit ribosomal RNA
Source: RNAcentral